RNAcentral lists this transfer RNA (75 nucleotides) under Deltaproteobacteria bacterium. Its description in RNAcentral is "tRNA-Cys". It matches the Rfam family "tRNA". From Rfam's summary of the family: Transfer RNA (tRNA) molecules are approximately 80 nucleotides in length. The record is from RNAcentral. Lineage: Bacteria; Pseudomonadati; Myxococcota; Myxococcia.
GGCGGCAUAGCCAAGUGGUUAAGGCGUUGGUCUGCAAAGCCAAUAUCGGCGGUUCGAUUCCGCCUGCCGCCUCCA